GGUCGUGUAGUGUAGCGGUCAUCACAUCGGAUUCUGAUUAGUCAUUGGAAGUUCCGAUAACCCUGGUUCGAAUCCUGGCAUGACCU
This is a transfer RNA of Microsporum canis CBS 113480, 86 nucleotides long. It matches the Rfam family "tRNA". From Rfam's summary of the family: Transfer RNA (tRNA) molecules are approximately 80 nucleotides in length. Lineage: Eukaryota; Fungi; Ascomycota; Eurotiomycetes; Onygenales; Arthrodermataceae. The record is from Rfam.